This 454-nucleotide ribosomal RNA is filed under the name uncultured bacterium. Its description in RNAcentral is "partial 16S ribosomal RNA". It matches the Rfam family "Bacterial small subunit ribosomal RNA", at positions 28 to 507 of the family's 1533-position model. The record is from RNAcentral.
GAUGAACGCUGACCGAAUGCUUAACACAUGCAAGUCAACUUGAACUUCGGUUUGGGUGGCGGACGGGUGAGUAACGCGUAAAGAACUUGCCUCACAGUUAGGGACAACAUUUGGAAACGAAUGCUAAUACCUGAUAUUAUGAUUUUAGGGCAUCCUAGAAUUAUGAAAGCUAUAUGCGCUGUGAGAGAGCUUUGCGUCCCAUUAGCUAGUUGGAGAGGUAACGGCUCACCAAGGCGAUGAUGGGUAGCCGGCCUGAGAGGGUGAACGGCCACAAGGGGACUGAGACACGGCCCUUACUCCUACGGGAGGCAGCAGUGGGGAAUAUUGGACAAUGGACCAAGAGUCUGAUCCAGCAAUUCUGUGUGCACGAUGAAGUUUUUCGGAAUGUAAAGUGCUUUCAGUUGGGAAGAAAAAAAUGACGAUACCAACAGAAGAAGUGACGGCUAAAUACGUG